Lampris incognitus (smalleye Pacific opah) is the source of this 134-nucleotide small nucleolar RNA. The record is from RefSeq and is a predicted model, not a curated record. NCBI's taxonomy places the organism in Eukaryota, Metazoa, Chordata, Actinopteri, Lampriformes, Lampridae.
UUGGCCCUGAUCAAGACUAGCGGCUUGCAGUAGCUGUGGGUUUCAAACAGUGCCAACAUUAAAUUCUUCCUGUGGUCUGUUGGUUUCCCCCAGAGUAACAAAGGGGAUAGUCAAUUCAGUUGGAAGGAACAAAA